CUGGAGGGCGGCUGGUGCGGCCGUCGUCCGGGCCCGAGCGGCGGCCACUACACCUGCCGACGCCUCGGACACAACAUCCGCCGACGACAGACUGGUCUGCUCGGCGACUGUUGCGGUUGCUGUGCCCCCUCCCCCUUCUGGGGAGGGGGCACUCCUCAACUGAUCGCCGCUCUUUGAAGAAAAAAAAAACGGCGAUGAAAAUAUUAUCUGGAGUUCAACUGAAGUCCUCCUCGCCUUCAGCUUUAUGAUAAUGAUUUGAAUGAGGACAGUCUGGAUGUCCUGAUGGGCAGGCAGGCCAUCCGGGCACCACUAAGCUACAACAGGAGACACAUCCGAAGCUUUAACUGGGCCUGGUGUCCGGCCGGUCAGACACCACCGCUUCGGUGCAGUCUCCCGCCGCGCGGCCGAUUCCCACCUGAGGUCCCCACCAGGCUGACGAGUGGAGGCAGCACCGACCACGGCAGCCACAGAUGGCGCUCGACACCGCUCGACCGACCACCGCCGACGGAGCCGCGGUGCCGCACCCGAGCUGUGACACGGCACCUAACAGCGAGCCGAUCCCAGACUCCGAGCCCGCCGGAUACCAGCAUCACCACCGCGCGGCCGCCCAGCCGCUCCUGUUCAGCCUUCAACCGGCUGACUGUUGUUAAUGUUUACCAGGAUCGGCAGCGUGCACGGCGCUGCCGACCCGUGCCCGUGCGGCCGCCGGCGGCGGACCGGAGCGGACUGCCCCCGCGCCGGGCCGCUGCCGCACGGGCACCACCACCAGCACACCGCCCCCCGGGGAUGGCGCAGGGAGAAACGGCUCACCGCCAGCGUCUCCAUAAGCUUGUUAUGGCGUCUGCCGGUGGCGGGGCGGCGGCUCCCGGCCACUGGCUGACGCCGCGUUGUUAUUGCUCAAAACAGCCCACUCAGAAAUAAGCCAGAAUAAAAAAAUAAACGACGAGUAUGUGCGCGAAGUGCAGUGUGUGAAUGUGUGAAUGUAAGUGCUGCGUGAACAGCACUGGGCUAGGUCGGGGUGUUAUGCGCAAAUAGUGUGCGUGGCGGGACCACUUCACCAGAGUGCCUGUUGUUAUUUAUGUAGUCGCUGGUAAGCGGUUGAAGCUACCUAUACUCUGACUACGCAGGUACGAGCGUUUCUCAUUAUUUGCAAAACGGUGUGGGUCGUCCAUAUCCCUCAUCUUUAUGCAUUCAUAGAAUUUCAUUGUUUCAUUACUGAAAGUAUGGUGAAUGGAUCGAUACGAGUAUGUUUCGUAUUUUAUAGGUGAUUUGUCUUUGUAACCAGACAAAUGGUUUUCACAAUACCGAAAUACAUAUUUUUACGAA
Long non-coding RNA from Amphibalanus amphitrite, 1326 nucleotides. RefSeq lists it as uncharacterized. The transcript is spliced from 3 exons. The record is from RefSeq and is a predicted model, not a curated record. NCBI's taxonomy places the organism in Eukaryota, Metazoa, Arthropoda, Thecostraca, Balanomorpha, Balanidae.